GCCCCGGUAGCUCAACUGGAUAGAGCAGUCCCGUCCUAAGGGAAAGGUUGUAGGUUCAACUCCUGCCCGGGGUACCA
Molecule: transfer RNA, 77 nt
Filed under: Candidatus Peregrinibacteria bacterium CG11_big_fil_rev_8_21_14_0_20_46_8
Lineage: Bacteria; Candidatus Peregrinibacteriota
Description: tRNA-Arg
Rfam family: tRNA
About the family: Transfer RNA (tRNA) molecules are approximately 80 nucleotides in length.
Source: RNAcentral